AUUGAACGCUGGCGGCAGGCCUAACACAUGCAAGUCGAACGAGUGGCGGACGGGUGAGUACUGUCUGGGACACUGCCUGAUGGAGGGGGAUAACUCCUGGAAACGGUAGCUAAUACCGCAUACCAUCAGAUUCGCUCAGCUGGGAUUAGCUAUUUGGUGGGGUAACGGCGCACCAAGUCGACGAUCCCUAGCUGGUCUGAGAGGAUGACCAGCCACACUGGAACUGAGACACGGUCCAGACUCCUAAGGGAGGCAGCAGUGGGGAAUAUUGCACAAUGGGAGGAAGCCUGAUGCAGCCAGGCCGCGUGUAUGAAGAAGGCCUUCGGGUUGUAAAGUACUUUCAGCGGGGAUGCGUUACCCGCAGAAAAAGCACCGGCUAACUCCGUGCCAGCAGCCGCGGUAAUAC
RNAcentral lists this ribosomal RNA (406 nucleotides) under uncultured bacterium. Its description in RNAcentral is "partial 16S ribosomal RNA". It matches the Rfam family "Bacterial small subunit ribosomal RNA", at positions 30 to 526 of the family's 1533-position model. The record is from RNAcentral.